UGUUGACCUAGCUUCGCAUGGCAGGCUCCCUGCACUAUUGUGCGGCCAACUGUCAUGGGGCGGUCUCUUCGUUGUCCAUCGCCUAGUAUAUUUGCUUUACUGCGUUACUGGAYGAUUGUGAAUGGUUGCCUGUAUGGUUCUACCCUUCAUAGGCGUAGCACAUAUCAUCUGUCCCGUCGAUGUCUAUUUAGCUUGUUCUGUUAACGUUAGUUGUACAGGGCGGCCGAGAUGUUAGCGACUUCUAAGUGUUUCCAUGUACAUUGUCUUGGUCAACUGCACUCUAGAUGUUUGUUGGUUCUCAUGGAUGUGGCUCCCUAUUGUGACGACAUACUAUGUGAGACGUUGUCGUGCCUCGCAGAACUUGUGAGGUGUGCCCACUGCAUAUGAUACAUUGCUACUAUUUUUUCGCAAACAUGUCGUGGUUUAAGCGCCAUGUUGUAGUGAUCUCUAUAUCGGGGAUCGUUGUUGUUCGCUUGCGGCAUGCCUCUUAGACCGAAUGACUYGCGAUUGACAUGGUU
This 518-nucleotide unclassified non-coding RNA is filed under the name Isolepis fluitans. Its description in RNAcentral is "partial external transcribed spacer 1f". Lineage: Eukaryota; Viridiplantae; Streptophyta; Magnoliopsida; Poales; Cyperaceae. The record is from RNAcentral.